AAUAAUGCGACGAAGGGAACAAGUAUAUUAAGGAAAGUUUUCAGAGAGGAAUCCUUAAAUAGCUGGAAGGGGUUCUAAAUGGAACUUAAUAGAAUGCAUCCCGGAGCACUAAGCUGAAGAUUAUAGUAGGUUUAGCAGGUGCGCCUGAUAUAGCGCAAAGAGAUAUUAUGUUAAAUUAUUCGAACAUAAUAAUCAGAGUGGGACCGCGGAUAUUUCUGCCUCUGUU
This 226-nucleotide non-coding RNA is filed under the name Clostridium sp. Its description in RNAcentral is "T-box sequence". It matches the Rfam family "T-box leader". Rfam says of the family: Uncharged tRNA acts as the effector for transcription antitermination of genes in the T-box leader family. T-boxes are found upstream of many aminoacyl-tRNA synthetase genes and some amino acid biosynthetic genes usually in Gram-positive bacteria. The anticodon of a specific tRNA base pairs to a specifier sequence within the T-box motif, and the NCCA acceptor tail of the tRNA base pairs to a conserved bulge in the T-box antiterminator hairpin. The record is from RNAcentral. Lineage: Bacteria; Bacillati; Bacillota; Clostridia; Eubacteriales; Clostridiaceae.